UUCAUGAUUGGAGAUGCUUGUUAACCGAGAAAUAAAUAUGAAGCCUGAAAACCUAAAAUCUUAAUGGACUGAAUCCGUUGUGUUUUUAACUAAUCUCUGCUGGGAUCAUGCGUUU
Long non-coding RNA from Poecilia latipinna (sailfin molly), 115 nucleotides. RefSeq lists it as uncharacterized. The record is from RefSeq and is a predicted model, not a curated record. NCBI's taxonomy places the organism in Eukaryota, Metazoa, Chordata, Actinopteri, Cyprinodontiformes, Poeciliidae. The transcript is spliced from 3 exons.